GGUGGAGGCUGCCUGCUUGCAGAUGCCCGGGGCCUCACCCCGUCCCUGGACUGACUCUCUCCUGCCUUUUCUCUCUGCAGCCUUUGCUAGGGAAGGCCUGCUUGUAAGUAUUUCUCGGGACCCUUGUGCUCUGGGUGCCUCUGCCGUCGCCGGCCACUCUGGCUUCUUGGCCGUUGAGUGUUGAGGAUGCUUGACAGUUGCUGUGAAAGCUGGAGGAGGGACCUGGGAUUCUUGAGCUUUCAGGAAAGGAUGCAGGCAGUUGAGGGGUUUUGGGGGGUGUCCUCCUGCCUUGAGGCUGUGCUCCCUUGUCCUCGCUCCCUCGUGGGGCCCGGGGUUACUGUUAGUAUUUGCUGUGGUCAGUGGCUGGACGUCUGGGGGUCAACCUUUUCCCACGUAAGGUCAGAUUUUGGCUCAGGGUUAAGGUCUGUGCCCUUUUAUUUUAAAAGGGAAGUUUGCCCAUAGCCGUGGUGGAGGUUCUGAGCCCUCCUGUCCUGGCCGGGACCCCCCUCAAGGUACUUGGGAACCACCGUCCUGCCUCGGAACCUGCUUGGCCUUCAUGGUCAUGUUCAAGGUUGGGCGUGGCUUUUGCUCUGCAGGACGUUCCUGGUUCAGGGUUAGCAGCUGCCAGAUGACUUGGCCUUGCCUCUGCUCCCUGGUCUCUGGCCGCAGAAGCAGCCAAGGCCUUUAUAUCACAGAGUUUUAGUAACAGCCACUGUGAACUGUCACCCCCAACCCCUUGUCACCCCCCCGCCCCCCACUGUCUGCCCUUUGGCUGGUCGGAUUGCCUGGAUCGAUGCCCGCAGACUCGUGGCAAAUUGGAGUAGUUGGGCAUCGUGCUUGGACCACGUGUCGAAAAAUGCAUUUCGUCACUUGACAGCUCAUGGAGAACGUGCCUAUAUGUGUCCCAAGUCUUUGGUCCUUAGACUAACCCCAGGAGGUCUCAGGGCACUUCCUGUGUCCGUUUCCCAGUUGAAGGCGACUCUCGCCCAUGGACGCCCAGCUGCUCCAAGGCACAACCAGCCCUUGAGCGGCUCUCCCCGUCCCGAGGGUCAGCUGCUUUCCCUGGGCUGUUUUCAGAACAACCAGGGGCCCGUUCGCCUCCCUGUCCCUGGUACCUGACAUUUGCCGCCUCUGAAAACGUCUGAGUCCCCUUCUCGUUGCCGCAGCCUCCCCUGCAGCUGCUUCCUGUGGCUGCGGUGUGUUUAUUUUAAUGGCCCCCUGCCUGUCAUGCUCAGUCUUUAAGAGUAGCAGACCCACGUCUUUUACCCCCACCCCACGCCCUGCAAGCCAGGCGUUUCCUGCGGGACGACCCAGGAUCGAGUUCCCCUUCUGUGCAAACUAGCCUUUGGGUUGGGAAGCUUCCGGUUCUGCAUCUGUGCGUGUUCCUUUUGAGCCACCGCCCAUGUUGCCAGGAAAGCAAACUUUCUGCCAGGGCCGGUGGGGGGGGCUUGGGCACAUCCCCCACCUUCCAAGGUUGAACCUGCCCAUCUCUAUGGCUGCAAUAGUACCUUUGGCCAGAAUUCCUCCAGGUCUGCAAAAAUGUCUUCUCUGGACCCAUCACACCUGCACUGCACUCUGGACCCAGCGUUGAGGUGUUUUGAUGAUGACAAUAUACACAUAGCACUUGGCAGAACACCUGGCACGUGGUCAGCGUCGAGUGGACGAUAGCAGUUCCCCUGGGAGACAGGGUGCCCUGUGCC
This 1700-nucleotide long non-coding RNA is filed under the name Sus scrofa (pig). Its description in RNAcentral is "lncRNA (ENSSSCG00005017105.1)". The record is from RNAcentral. Lineage: Eukaryota; Metazoa; Chordata; Mammalia; Artiodactyla; Suidae.